This is a long non-coding RNA of Rhincodon typus (whale shark), 634 nucleotides long. RefSeq lists it as uncharacterized. The record is from RefSeq and is a predicted model, not a curated record. Lineage: Eukaryota; Metazoa; Chordata; Chondrichthyes; Orectolobiformes; Rhincodontidae. The transcript is spliced from 4 exons.
GGAUGGUAGAGUAUGCGCAUAGUUAAUUGUGAUUGCGAGCGAGUGUACCGUGAAGGAUGCAGGAAAGAAAAGGUUCGCCUGUUACAUUCAUAAACGGUGCCUCUGCAGCUGGAUGUCUGACUGAAUCCUUCCUGCACAGGAGCAGGUGAACGGUCUGUCCUGGUGUGACUGCCCCAUUGCGUGGCCAGCUCAGGAUUAUAUGCAGUAUGCUCCUGGGAGACGUAUGUGCAUACGCUAGUGACUGAGAUUGAUGGAAAAGUAUCCACUGCUACAGUCCGUGUGGUGAAGCUACUCCCAGAUUGCUGUUUGGUGAAGAGUUACAGGAUUUUCAUCCAGUGGUGAUAAGGGUUUCACAUGUUUAAGGCCACAAAGACAAAGCUCUGAACAAAAACAAAGAACUACGGAUGCUGGAAAUCUGAAAUAAAAACAGAAAUAGCUGGUGACAGUCAGCAGGUCUGGCAUCAUCUGUGGAGGGAGAGUAGAGUCAACAUUUCCACCUGACGUUUGUUACAAAAAGCUCCAGUUUUCUUCUGGAGUUUGACACAGAAUCGUGUUUCCAAUUCAGCCAAUGAAGAAAAGUGAUUGGUUCACUCUGGAGGACCAACUUCUCCUGAUGGGUCCUCCAGACCUGCCC